UUAGGAAUCUCGCGCAAUGGGCGAAAGCCUGACGCAGCAACGCCGCGUGAGGGAUGAAGGCUCUCGGGUUGUAAACCUCUUUCAGCAGGAACGACAUUGACGGUACCUGCAGAAGAAGCUCCGGCCAACUACGUGCCAGCAGCCGCGGUAAUACGUAGGGAGCAAGCGUUGUCCGGAUUUAUUGGGCGUAAAGAGCUCGUAGGCGGCUUACCAAGUCAGGUGUGAAACCUCCAGGCUCAACCUGGAGCCGCCACUUGAUACUGGUAUGGCUUGAGUUCGGUAGGGGUAAGCGGAAUUCCUGGUGUAGCGGUGAAAUGCGCAGAUAUCAGGAGGAACACCGAUGGCGAAGGCAGCUUACUGGGCCGAUACUGACGCUGAGGAGCGAAAGCGUGGGGAGCGAACAG
This 404-nucleotide ribosomal RNA is filed under the name uncultured bacterium. Its description in RNAcentral is "bacterial SSU rRNA". It matches the Rfam family "Bacterial small subunit ribosomal RNA", at positions 355 to 775 of the family's 1533-position model. The record is from RNAcentral.